AACCAUAGAAACCUGCGGAGUACCUGCGGAGGGAUCAUUACAAGUGACCCCGGUUUACCACCGGGAUGUUCAUAACCCUUUGUUGUCCGACUCUGUUGCCUCCGGGGCGACCCUGCCUUCGGGCGGGGGCUCCGGGUGGACACUUCAAACUCUUGCGUAACUUUGCAGUCUGAGUAAACUUAAUUAAUAAAUUAAAACUUUUAGCAACGGAUCU
This 214-nucleotide unclassified non-coding RNA is filed under the name soil metagenome. RNAcentral describes it as "partial contains 5.8S ribosomal RNA, internal transcribed spacer 2, and large subunit ribosomal RNA". The record is from RNAcentral.